CGUCGCGGGGCAGGCGGUCGCAGGGUGAUGACAUAAACCCUCCGCCCCGCCUUUUCCGAGAUUUGAGCGAGGGCGGAGGCGCUACCGUAUGUCUUCUAAGAGGGGGACGUCAAAGUGAGGCGCUAAGGGUGCAAGACCACAUUCCUGGAGUCCAAGGGGGCAUAUUCGGAGGUCUUAAAGUUUUGUAUGCUUGCGCGUUCUUGGUAGUAACUCUGUGCGUUUGAGACGAAUGUCUCUUAUUUAUUCAUUCAACAGAUAUUUAUUGAGUACCCACUAUUUGCCUGGCUAGGUAUGCCGUAGGUGAACAAAACAAAGCCCCUGCCCUCAUGGAGCUUACAUUCUAGUGUGUGUAGUGGGGUGGGGAGACGUCCAAUAAAGAGAGAUAUCCAAACAGUGAUUGGCGCUUCCCUGGUGGCGCAGCGGUUGAGAGUCCGCCUGCCGAUGCAAGGAACACGGCUUCAUGGCCCGGUCCAGGAAAAUCCCACAUGCCAUGGAGCGGCUAGGCCCGUGAGCCACGGCCGCUGAGCCUGCGCGUCCGGAGCCUGUGCUCUGCAACGGGAGAGGCUGCAACAGUGAGAAGCCCGCGUAACGCAAAAAAAAAAAAAAAAAAAAAAAAAAAUUAAUAAAUGCUAUGAAGAGAAAAAGAAAAGAUAAAGAAAUAAAGGGACUGAGAGUGGAUGGUGCUAUUUUAAACAGCCUGAUAGGAGAAAUCUUCUCUCAGAAGCUGUCAUUUUAAUAGAAAUCUGAAUUCAGGAGAGAGAGAGAGAGAAAGCAGGUAUUCCAGAUGUGACUACCUGGAAGAAAGGUGGUCCAGGCAGAAGGAAGAGCAAAUAGAAGGGCUCUGAAAGGGAAAUUUUCUUGGUGAGUUAUUACAGAUCAACAGGAGCAUGUAGGAUUCCACUGUAGAGUGGAAUCCAGUUCUGUCAGGCUUUUAUGCCUACCGAUCAAUCCAGUGAAAGCAGUCUUAUCAACGUUACCAGUGACCCACUUCGGCAAAUCCAUCAGUCAUUUCUCUCUCUUUAAAAAAAAACAACUUAUUUUUGGCUGCGCUGGGUCUUAGUUGCGGCAUGCUGGAUCUUUAGUUGCAGCAUGUGGGAUCUAGUUCCCUGACCAGGGAUCAAACCCUCUGCAUUGGGAGUGAGGAGUCUUAACAACUGGACCACCAGGGAAGUCCCCAUCAGUCAUUUUUCAGUCCUUAUAUGGCCUUCCCAGCGAGAUUUGAUAAGAGUUUUACUACAGGUGAAAGUUCGGGGGCUACUACUAUAAUCCUGGUGAGAAUUAAUAGUAAUUUGGAUAAAGGUGAUGGUGGAGGUGGCAAGAAGUAGUCAAAUUCUGGAUAUAUUUUGAAGACAAUCAAAAUGAUUUUGCCGAUGGAUUGGAUGUGGGAUGUGAGAGAAAGAAAGGAGUCAAGGAUGAUUCCAAGAUUUUGCCCUGAGUAAGUGGAAGAACAGUUUCCAUUUACCGAAGCUGGGGGAAGAUUGUGAGAGGAGCAGUUUGGUAGGAGGAAUAUUAAAUGUCUGAUUUAGGGUGUGUUAAGUUCGUGAUGCCUUUUGGAGUCAAGUGGAGAUGUAGAGUAGGAAUUUGUAUGUAAGUAGGGUGUAAGGAAGAGGAUGGGCCUGGAAAUAUAAUUUUGGAAAUUAUCACUAUAUAUAAAUGACAUUUAAAUCUUCGAGGCUAGGUGGACAAAGAAAUAUAAAUAGUAUUUAAAGCCGUGGGACUAAAUGCCCCAAGGAAGCAAGUGUAGGUAGGGAAGAGGAGAGGUCUGGUUACUGAGCCCUUUGCCAGUUUCAUAUUUAGAGGUCUGGAACAGGAGCAUCCAGGAAGGGGGAAUGAAGAAGCAGCUCGGCAAGAUUCCUCCUGCAAACUCCUUGAAGACCUUGCUCAGUGCCUGGCCCACAGUAGGUGAUCAGUAAAGAGUUGUAGAAUGAAUGGUGACUCUUACCCUGUCACUUGCUGGUAAAAAUUCCCAUUUUGGAGCCACAGAGAACAAUACACAGCUGCUUCCCUCCCCUCAGAUUAAGAAAAUGAACCCCGGGCUUUCCUGGUGGGUUCGAGCCCUGGCCCGGGAAGAUCCCACAUGCCACGGAGCAACUAAGCCAGUGAGCCACAACUACUGAAUCCCAUGUGCCACAACUACUGAAGCCCAUGCACCUAGAGCCCAUGCUCUGCAACAAGAGAAACCACCACAAUUAGAAGACUGUGCACAGCAAUGAAGAGUAGCCCCCACUCUCCGCAACUAGAGAAAGCCCGUGAGCAGCAGAAAACCCAAUGCAGCCGAAAAAAAAAAUUAAAAAAAGUAAAAAAAAACAAAAACAAAAAAACCCCAAAACAAACAAACAAAAAGAAAAUAAACCCCAUUUACCACCAAAAGCAAAGGUAACAAAAGCAAAAAUAAACAAGUGGAAUUAUAUCAAACUAAAAAGCUUCUGCACAGCAAAGGAAACCAUCAACAAAAUGAAAAGGCAAUCUACUAGACAGGAGAAGAUAUCUGCAAAUCAUAUACUGAUAAGGGGUUAAAAUGCAAAAUAUACAGAGAACUCAUGCAACUCAACAGCAAAAAACCAAACAACCUGAUUUAAAAAUGUGCAGAGGACCUGAACAGAUGCUUCCCAAAGAAGACAUACAAAUGGCCAAUAGACACGUGAAAAGAUGCUCAACAUCACUAAUCAUCAGGGAAAUGCAAAUCAAAGCCACAAUGAGAUACCACCUCACACCUGUCAGAAUGGCUGUUAACAACAACAACAACAAAUAACAAGUGUUGGCCAGGAUGUGGAGAAAAGGGAACCCUGUGUACUGUUGGAGAGAAUGUAAAGUGGUGCAGCCACUAUGGGAAACAGUAUGGAAGUUCCUCAAAAAAUUAAAAAUAAAACUACUAUAUGAUCCAAAUUCCACUUCUGGGUAUUUAUCUGAAAGAAACAAAAACACUAACUUGAAAAGAUAUAUGCACCCCUAUGUUCACUGCAGCAUUAUUUAUAAGAGCUAAGACACAGAAACAACCUAAGUGUCCAUGGACAGAUGAAUGGAUGAAGAAAAUGUGAUAUGUGUGUGUGUGUAUAUAUAUUGUGUGUACGAUGGAAUAUUAUUCAGCCAUAAAAAGAAGGAAACUUUGCCAUUUUUGACAACAUGGAUGGACCUUGAGGCCAUUAUGCUGACAUAAAUCAGAGAAAGACAAAUACUGUAUGAUCUCAGUUAUAUGUGGAAUCUAAAACGAACAAACAAAAAUAAUUGAGUUCAUAGAUAUAUAGAACAGAUUAGAGGUUGCUAGAGGUGGGGGAUGGAGGUGGAUGAAUUCUGGUGCAAGGCUUCAAAAGGUACAAACUUCCAGUUAUAAGUAAGUCACGGGGAUAUAAUGUACAGCAUGAAGACUAUAUUUAAAAACACUGUAUUGCAUAUUUGCAAGUUGCAAAGAGAGUAGAUCUUAAAAAUUCUCAUUAUAAGAAAAAAAAUUUGUAACAUGUAUGGUGACUAGACUUAUUAUGGUGAUCAUUUUGCAAUAUACACAAAUAUUGAAUCAUUAUGUUGUACACCUGAAACUAAUAUGUUAUAUGUCAAUUAUAUGUCAAUUAAAAAAUUAGGUCCCAGAGAUAAAAUGAUUUUUUAAAGGUAAUAGAAGUAGCUAUUGAUAGAGCCUCCUUCUAAAAGGCUGGAAAAUCAAACAUUUCCCAGGACUUCCCAGGAGAAGAGGGGAACUGUGAUGCUGGUUGCCAUUACUCCCAUAUUCACUUCACAAACCAGCUCUUGGAUACUGGCUUCAAAAAUUAUAAAAAUGUUCUUUGGAAAAAAACUCAAACUACCUAAAAGUGAUUAGAGUAAAAACAAAACCUGGGGAGAGUUACUCUCUCUGCAGCAGUGCUGUCCAUUAGAACUCUCUGCGAUGAGGGAAACGUUUUUAUCUGUGCUAUUUUCAAUACAGGAGCCACCAGCCACGUGUGAUACUGGAAGAAGUGAGUUUUAAAUUGUAUUCAAUUUUAAUUAAUUUAAAUUUAAAUAACCACAUGUAACUGUGGUAUCAUAUUGGACAGGGCAGCUCUAGAGAAUAAUCACCCUUCCCUGUGGAUGAGGACUCUCCUUGUCCUUGCUCUGGGGCUUCCUUUCACUCAGACCUCGGUUGUGGGUUCAGGGGGGAGAUUUAAAUAACUCAAGUUCAACUUAAAAAGUUAAUGAGGACUUCCCUGGUGGUGCAGUGGUUGGGAACCCACCUUCCAAUGUAGGGGACGUGGGUUCGAUCUCUGGUCAGGGAACUAGAUCCCACAUGCAUGCCACAGCUAAGAGUUUGCACGCCACAACUAAGUAACCCACCUGCCGCAACUAAGACCUGGCACAACUAAAAAUAAAAAACAAACAAAAAGUUAAUGAACACCUGUUAUGUGCAAAGUACUGUCUGAGGUCCUAUUUGCAGGGGAGGGGGGAUCCAAAGGUGGAUAGGACUUGUAACUACCCAUAAAAAGCUCACAAUUUGGUAGGGACAUUAAGUCACAUACACAGAGAUGGAGUGUAACAUGCAGCAAUGCGGACAAAUUGAACCAAGUUAAGGAAUAAAAAAAACAGAGUGAUUCAUUAUGCUGGGAUUAAAAGGGAAGGUUUCACACAUGCAGGAGCUUUUGAUCUGUUCUUGAAUUCUGUGAGCCCAGCUUCCUGGAAGAAGAUGAACAGUGAAUCCUGGCUGUGAGACAGGGAAUGGAGGUCAUAUAGUACAGAGGGGGGCAGUGCACUUUUGGUUCAAAUCCUGGAUUUGCUAUCUAAUACUACCUUUGUGAUCCUGGGAAAACUCCUUUACCUCUCUGAGUUGCAGCUUCCUUAUCUGUAAAAUGUGGUUAAUAACUACUCCUGUGUCAGAGGAUUAAAUGAGCAGCUUGCACAGUGUAUCCAGCUCAUAGUAAGCAAUGAAAAAACUGUGAGAUAACUAAUAAGGACCUACUGUAUAGCACAGGGGACUCUACUCAGUACUCUAUAAUGGUCUAUAUGAGAGAAGAAUCUAAAAAAGGGUGGACAGAUGUGUAUGUAUAACUGAUUCACUUUGCUGCAUGCCUGAAACUAAUACAACAUUGUAAAUCAACUAUACUCCAAUAAAAAUAAAGUAAAAAUAAAUAAAUUUAAGGCAAAAAAAAAAA
This is a long non-coding RNA of Orcinus orca (killer whale), 5111 nucleotides long. RefSeq lists it as uncharacterized. Lineage: Eukaryota; Metazoa; Chordata; Mammalia; Artiodactyla; Delphinidae. The record is from RefSeq and is a predicted model, not a curated record. The transcript is spliced from 3 exons.